This 250-nucleotide ribosomal RNA is filed under the name uncultured bacterium. RNAcentral describes it as "partial 16S ribosomal RNA". It matches the Rfam family "Bacterial small subunit ribosomal RNA", at positions 261 to 504 of the family's 1533-position model. The record is from RNAcentral.
CGGCCCACCAAGGCGACGAUGCGUAGCCGACCUGAGAGGGUGACCGGCCACACUGGGACUGAGACACGGCCCAGACUCCUACGGGAGGCAGCAGUAGGGAAUUUUCGGCAAUGGGGGAACCCUGACCGAGCAACGCCGCGUGAAGGAAGAAGGAAUUCGUUCUGUAAACUUCUGUUAUAAAGGAAGAACGGCACAUAUAGGGAAUGAUAUGUGAGUGACGGUACUUUAUGAGGAAGCCACGGCUAACUAC